Molecule: ribosomal RNA, 253 nt
Filed under: uncultured bacterium
Lineage: Bacteria
Description: partial 16S ribosomal RNA
Rfam family: Bacterial small subunit ribosomal RNA
Source: RNAcentral
UACGGAGGAUGCAAGCGUUAUCCGGAAUGAUUGGGCGUAAAGCGUACGCAGGUGGUUGUGUGUGUCUAUUGUCAAAGCAUCAUGCUUAACAUGAUAAAGGCAGUAGAAACUACACGACUAGAGUGCGUUCGGGGCAGAGGGAAUUCCUGGUGUAGCGGUGAAAUGCGUAGAGAUCAGGAAGAACACCGGUGGCGAAAGCGCUCUGCUAGGCCGCAAUUGACAAUGAGGGACGAAAGCUAGGGGAGCGAAUGGG